Molecule: ribosomal RNA, 866 nt
Filed under: Streptomyces albus
Lineage: Bacteria; Bacillati; Actinomycetota; Actinomycetes; Kitasatosporales; Streptomycetaceae
Description: bacterial SSU rRNA
Rfam family: Bacterial small subunit ribosomal RNA
Source: RNAcentral
AGAGUUUGAUCCUGGCUCAGGACGAACGCUGGCGGCGUGCUUAACACAUGCAAGUCGAACGAUGAAGCCGCUUCGGUGGUGGAUUAGUGGCGAACGGGUGAGUAACACGUGGGCAAUCUGCCCUGCACUCUGGGACAAGCCCUGGAAACGGGGUCUAAUACCGGAUAUGACACGGGAUCGCAUGGUCUCCGUGUGGAAAGCUCCGGCGGUGCAGGAUGAGCCCGCGGCCUAUCAGCUUGUUGGUGGGGUGAUGGCCUACCAAGGCGACGACGGGUAGCCGGCCUGAGAGGGCGACCGGCCACACUGGGACUGAGACACGGCCCAGACUCCUACGGGAGGCAGCAGUGGGGAAUAUUGCACAAUGGGCGCAAGCCUGAUGCAGCGACGCCGCGUGAGGGAUGACGGCCUUCGGGUUGUAAACCUCUUUCAGCAGGGAAGAAGCGAGAGUGACGGUACCUGCAGAAGAAGCACCGGCUAACUACGUGCCAGCAGCCGCGGUAAUACGUAGGGUGCGAGCGUUGUCCGGAAUUAUUGGGCGUAAAGAGCUCGUAGGCGGCUUGUCGCGUCGGAUGUGAAAGCCCGGGGCUUAACCCCGGGUCUGCAUUCGAUACGGGCAGGCUAGAGUUCGGCAGGGGAGAUUGGAAUUCCUGGUGUAGCGGUGAAAUGCGCAGAUAUCAGGAGGAACACCGGUGGCGAAGGCGGAUCUCUGGGCCGAUACUGACGCUGAGGAGCGAAAGCGUGGGGAGCGAACAGGAUUAGAUACCCUGGUAGUCCACGCCGUAAACGUUGGGCACUAGGUGUGGGCGGCAUUCCACGUCGUCCGUGCCGCAGCUAACGCAUUAAGUGCCCCGCCUGGGGAGUACGGA